GGAAUCUUAGACAAUGGGGGAAACCCUGAUCUAGCCAUGCCGCGUGAUCGAUGAAGGCCUUAGGGUUGUAAAGAUCUUUCAGUGGGGAAGAUAAUGACGGUACCCACAGAAGAAGCCCCGGCUAACUCCGUGCCAGCAGCCGCGGUAAUACGGAGGGGGCUAGCGUUAGUCGGAAUUACUGGGCGUAAAGCGCACGUAGGCGGACUGGAAAGUUGGGGGUGAAAGCCCAGGGCUCAACCCUGGAACUGCCUUCAAAACUCCCAGUCUUGAGGUCGAGAGAGGUGAGUGGAAUUCCGAGUGUAGAGGUGAAAUUCGUAGAUAUUCGGAGGAACACCAGUGGCGAAGGCGGCUCACUGGCUCGAUACUGACGCUGAGGUGCGAAAGCGUGGGGAGCAAA
Molecule: ribosomal RNA, 397 nt
Filed under: uncultured bacterium
Lineage: Bacteria
Description: bacterial SSU rRNA
Rfam family: Bacterial small subunit ribosomal RNA
Source: RNAcentral